GAGUUUGAUCCUGGCUCAGAAUCAACGCUGGCGGCGUGCCUAACACAUGCAAGUCGAACGCGAGAGGGGCUUCGGCCCUGAUUGAGUGGCGAACGGGGUGAGUAACACGUGGGUGAUCUACCUUUGAGUGGGGGAUAACGUUCCGAAAGGAACGCUAAUACCGCAUGACGUUCUGGGUUUGAAGACCUGGAAACCAAAGCCGGGGACCGCAAGGCCUGGCGCUUGGAGAGGAGCCCGCGCCUGAUUAGCUAGUUGGUGAGGUAACGGCUCACCAAGGCUGCGAUCAGUAGCCGGCCUGAGAGGGCGGACGGCCACACUGGGACUGAGACACGGCCCAGACUCCUACGGGAGGCAGCAGUGGGGAAUUGUUCGCAAUGGGCGCAAGCCUGACGACGCAACGCCGCGUGGAGGAUGAAGGUCUUCGGAUUGUAAACUCCUGUUGACCGGGACGAAUGAGCAUCGACCUAAUACGUCGGAGCAGUGACGGUACCGGUUGAGGAAGCCACGGCUAACUCUGUG
RNAcentral lists this ribosomal RNA (519 nucleotides) under uncultured bacterium. Its description in RNAcentral is "bacterial SSU rRNA". It matches the Rfam family "Bacterial small subunit ribosomal RNA", at positions 9 to 507 of the family's 1533-position model. The record is from RNAcentral.